AUCCAGCCGACGAGUUCUGAAUAGAACGAAGUGUGCAUCCUGGAU
This 45-nucleotide non-coding RNA is filed under the name Trichobilharzia regenti. Lineage: Eukaryota; Metazoa; Platyhelminthes; Trematoda; Strigeidida; Schistosomatidae. The record is from RNAcentral.